This 207-nucleotide ribosomal RNA is filed under the name uncultured bacterium. RNAcentral describes it as "partial 16S ribosomal RNA". It matches the Rfam family "Bacterial small subunit ribosomal RNA", at positions 568 to 774 of the family's 1533-position model. The record is from RNAcentral.
CACGUAGGCGGGUCUUUAAGUCAGGGGUGAAAUCCUGGAGCUCAACUCCAGAACUGCCUUUGAUACUGAAGAUCUUGAGUUCGGGAGAGGUGAGUGGAACUGCGAGUGUAGAGGCGAAAUUCGUAGAUAUUCGCAAGAACACCAGUGGCGAAGGCGGCUUACUGGUCCAUUACUGACGCUGAGGUGCGAAAGCGUGGGGAGCAAACA